UGGGGAAUAUUGCACAAUGGGCGCAAGCCUGAUGCAGCCAUGCCGCGUGUAUGAAGAAGGCCUUCGGGUUGUAAAGUACUUUCAGCGGGGAGGAAGGUGUUGAGGUUAAUAACCUCAGCAAUUGACGUUACCCGCAGAAGAAGCACCGGCUAACUCCGUGUCAG
This 164-nucleotide ribosomal RNA is filed under the name uncultured bacterium. RNAcentral describes it as "partial 16S rRNA". It matches the Rfam family "Bacterial small subunit ribosomal RNA", at positions 355 to 511 of the family's 1533-position model. The record is from RNAcentral.